RNAcentral lists this transfer RNA (88 nucleotides) under bacterium. RNAcentral's name for it is "tRNA-Tyr". It matches the Rfam family "tRNA". Rfam says of the family: Transfer RNA (tRNA) molecules are approximately 80 nucleotides in length. Their secondary structure includes four short double-helical elements and three loops (D, anti-codon, and T loops). Further hydrogen bonds mediate the characteristic L-shaped molecular structure. tRNAs have two regions of fundamental functional importance: the anti-codon, which is responsible for specific mRNA codon recognition, and the 3' end, to which the tRNAs corresponding amino acid is attached (by aminoacyl-tRNA synthetases). tRNAs cope with the degeneracy of the genetic code in two manners: having more than one tRNA (with a specific anti-codon) for a particular amino acid; and 'wobble' base-pairing, i.e. permitting non-standard base-pairing at the 3rd anti-codon position. The record is from RNAcentral.
GGGUAGGUGGCCGAGUGGUUAAUGGCACCAGACUGUAAAUCUGGCGCGCGAGAGCGCUACGCUGGUUCGAAUCCAGCCCUGCCCACCA